GCAUUGCUCACGAGUCUCAAACAGGACGAAACAGCUGUCCAGUGC
This 45-nucleotide non-coding RNA is filed under the name Echinostoma caproni. Lineage: Eukaryota; Metazoa; Platyhelminthes; Trematoda; Plagiorchiida; Echinostomatidae. The record is from RNAcentral.